Molecule: ribosomal RNA, 502 nt
Filed under: uncultured bacterium
Lineage: Bacteria
Description: bacterial SSU rRNA
Rfam family: Bacterial small subunit ribosomal RNA
Source: RNAcentral
GACGAACGCUGGCGGCGUGGAUUAGGCAUGCAAGUCGAACGGUAUCAUCCUUUCGGGGGUGAGAGAGUGGCGAACUGGUGAGUAACACGUAGGUUAUCUACCCUCAAGACGGGGACAACCCAGGGAAACUUGGGCUAAUACCGGAUGUGAGCAACUUUUAGUUGUUUGAAAGGUGGCGUAAGCUGUCGCUUGGGGAUGAGCCUGCGUCCUAUUAGUUAGUUGGUGAGGUAACGGCUCACCUAGGCAAUGAUAGGUAGGCGGCCUUAACGGGUGGUCGCCCACACUGGGGUUGAGAUACGGCCCAGACUCCUACGGGAGGCAGCAGUCGAGAAUAGUCUACAAUGGUCGGAAGACUGAUAGUGCGACGCCGCGUGAACGAUGAAUCCCUUCGGGGUGUAAAGUUCUUUUAUAUGUGAGCAGUGCUUCUUAUAUUAACAGUAUGGGGAGAGAGAUAUUAGCAUAUGAAUAAGCAACGGCUAACUCCGUGCCAGCAGCCGACGGU